AAGGAGCAGGAGGACGGCCAGUGAAAGGAGGAGCAGAAGCUGGAAGCGCACAGUGACUGGGUUCGAGACGUGGCCUGGGCCCCCUACAUCGGUCUGCCCACCAGCACCAUCACCAGCUGCUCCCAGGACAGCCAUGUGUUCAUUUGGACGUGUGAUGAUGCCUCAGGCAAUACGUGGUCCCCCAAAUUGCUGCACAAGUUCAAUGAUAUGGUGUGGCAUGUGAGCUGGUCCAUCACAGCCAACAUCCUGGCCAUCUCUGGUGGAGACAAUAAGGUGACCCUGUGGAAGAAGUCAGUUGACAGGCAAUGGGUUUGCAUCAGUGAUAUCAACAAAGGCCAGGGCUCCCUGUCGGCAGUCACAGAGGGCGAGCAGAAUGAGCAGUGACAAGACAGGUGGCACCUGGCUCCCCACCCCCCAGCUCUGGGACUGCCCCUUCCUGGGCCAACUGACCAAACAACUGGGAAGAGCCCCCAACUCCAACAGGAUCAUUUUCCCAGGAGGCGUUACAGAUGCAACCACAGAUUGAUCAUCUGCCUUAACACGAUCAGAGAUGCUUUGUAAUCUAGUGUCCAGAUGAAAGCACUCAUGUUAUAAAGAAGAAACUACAUAUGAUGUUUAAAUCUAUUUUAAACUAUUUUGGGCCAUUUUUAUGUACCUUUGUGUUCAGGCAUUAUUUGGGGGGUUUUGUUUCCAGUAACUAAAUAAAGUCAUAUUGCUUAUAAAAAAAAUUAAAAAAGAAAA
RNA transcript from Cebus imitator (Panamanian white-faced capuchin), 741 nucleotides. It is a transcript of the gene named protein SEC13 homolog, with no coding region annotated. Lineage: Eukaryota; Metazoa; Chordata; Mammalia; Primates; Cebidae. The transcript has a single exon. The record is from RefSeq and is a predicted model, not a curated record.